UGCUUGACACCCUUCUAACAAUACCAAAACCACAAGAUGAAAUUAUACAUCACCAGCGCAGACCAUUCAUAAUUAAAGACCUAAGAAUUUGCUUGAAAAUUUUUAGCAAAGCAUUUGCAGUGAAAGCUCAUUAUUCAUGCGAAAACAAGCAUAAUCUUCUACUUUAGCAAGUACUGCAUCUACUUGAAGGAUCAUCUCAAUCUGUGACAGUGGUUUUCAAUAUUCUCCGCCUGUCUAUAUUUUUGGUAUAUGAAGAAGGAGUAAAAAUGCCUGGUCUCCAGAUGCCAUUUUUUCCGUCUCACUGGCAUGUUGAAUAUUUUUGAUACAGCUUAAAUCUCUUUGACCUGGAUGCUCUCCAAACCAUGCGAUAUUUCACGCAUAACGAUAUCUGCGGCAAAGCUGAAUACAAUAUAUUCCUAUUGAAUGUCAUCAAAUCUAUUAGACAGUUGAGUGAGUUUGAAUACGCCAAUAUCUCUUGCGAAUGGAACAUAUUUUCCAAUAGGCUUAUUCAGCGAGCAUGAACAAUAGCAAGGCCUAUGAGAGAAGAGAGGUCUGUCAACAUCAUUACAGUGUAGGCCUAGGCAGUGUACAGUCCUCUCUCAGAUUCGCUGCAUUUAAAGUUGAAAGAUGGCGCUGCUCCAACAAGUGUAUUGCAUCUACCUGGCCAAUGGAUGCAUUUGUCUCAUUGUUUAUAUCUAUGGAAUCACCUGCUUCGAAAGCGAACCGAUCUUUGAUCAUUAUAGGGACGCCGUCGGUCUUCUAGCAAAUGCGUUUCUCAUAACUGCUAUAUUGUUGACAAUUAUUGUUAAACACCACGACUCAAAUGAUGGCGGCAAAAAUAAUACGGUGAAACGUGGCGCUGCAGCGGAAAAGUUGCAACUCCAAGAAAAGUAUAAUUUAGUGGAAUCACUUGAGGCCGGAAACUCAUGGCAGGAUUGUUCACAAUCAAUGGACCAAGCGGUGCUAAACUUUUCCAAUGCGAAUCAUGACGUUCACAAAUAUUCUCACACCGGAAACGGGCAUUCUUUCAGCGCCACCCUGUGGUCAGAAAUGAUAACAAACAAUCGUCUGCUCAUAUUCGGGACAAUGUUGAUCAAUUUUAUCUAUGGAUUACAAAGCUUGUUUAAUUACACUCCGAGAUAUAUGUUAGUGCGAUUACUUUUCUCAUACCCGGAGUUCGUGUUGUUUUUCAUAUACCCGUUCUUCCUUAAUGUUUUACAAAUACUCACUGGCGCUAUGGUUAUGGGAGCAGUGGUAAACCAUGUUCUAAAAAGACAUUCGGAAAACCGACGCAGCGAGAAAUAGACCGGCGGCAAGCCACAGGAGUUUCUGGCGAUGAUGUAAAGAAGAAAGGAUCGAGAAUCAUUCCAUGUCUUCCGAUUUUACAAACAUUUUUAUAUUUUCCAAAUUAUAUCAUUAUACCAUAAAUGUGUCAAUUGGGUCUCAUUACUUUUUAUCAUUUUUCAAGUUGUAUCGUUGAUUCAUGCCACAUUUCUCUGAAAAAAAGUUUCCCGGCAGACCAGUGUACCAGAGAGGCAUUACCAGAGAGCUUCCGCAUCCUGAACCUCAUGGUCUUAUACUCCCUUUAUGUCUUAAUGAGAUGCAAAAACUUUGGUGGUCAAGAUGCGCUAUCCACGAAUCAUGAAUCACGUGAUUGUCACGCGCCUGGGUAUUCACUGUAGUCUUCCCCGUAUACUGUGUCGUUUGUCCCAACGAAUUGACUCUUGGUGUAAAGAUAGUAAACUCUCCA
This is a long non-coding RNA of Lineus longissimus, 1750 nucleotides long. RefSeq lists it as uncharacterized. The transcript is spliced from 4 exons. The record is from RefSeq and is a predicted model, not a curated record. NCBI's taxonomy places the organism in Eukaryota, Metazoa, Nemertea, Pilidiophora, Heteronemertea, Lineidae.